CAGUAGCCACGGGAAUACGUAGGUGGCAAGCGUUGUCCGGAAUUAUUGGGCGUAAAGGGCUCGCAGGCGGUUUCUUAAGUCUGAUGUGAAAGCCCCCGGCUCAACCGGGGAGGGUCAUUGGAAACUGGGAAACUUGAGUGCAGAAGAGGAGAGUGGAAUUCCACGUGUAGCGGUGAAAUGCGUAGAGAUGUGGAGGAACACCAGUGGCGAAGGCGACUCUCUGGUCUGUAACUGACGCUGAGGAGCGAGAGCGUGGGGAGCGAACAGGAUUAGAUACCCGCGUAGUCCCUGUCUCUUAUAC
This 301-nucleotide ribosomal RNA is filed under the name uncultured bacterium. RNAcentral describes it as "partial 16S ribosomal RNA". It matches the Rfam family "Bacterial small subunit ribosomal RNA", at positions 509 to 807 of the family's 1533-position model. The record is from RNAcentral.